Molecule: ribosomal RNA, 430 nt
Filed under: bacterium
Lineage: Bacteria
Description: partial 16S ribosomal RNA
Rfam family: Bacterial small subunit ribosomal RNA
Source: RNAcentral
UGGGGAAUAUUGGACAAUGGGCGCAAGCCUGAUCCAGCCAUGCCGCGUGUGUGAAGAAGGCCUUUUGGUUGUAAAGCACUUUAAGCGAGGAGGAGGCCACUUGGAUUAAUACUCCAGGAUAGUGGACGUUACUUGCAGAAUAAGCACCGGCUAACUCUGUGCCAGCAGCCGCGGUAAUACAGAGGGUGCGAGCGUUAAUCGGAUUUACUGGGCGUAAAGCGUGCGUAGGCGGCUUCUUAAGUCGGAUGUGAAAUCCCUGAGCUUAACUUAGGAAUUGCAUUCGAUACUGGGAAGCUAGAGUAUGGGAGAGGAUGGUAGAAUUCCAGGUGUAGCGGUGAAAUGCGUAGAGAUCUGGAGGAAUACCGAUGGCGAAGGCAGCCAUCUGGCCUAAUACUGACGCUGAGGUACGAAAGCAUGGGGAGCAAACAGG